Molecule: transfer RNA, 74 nt
Filed under: Frankia sp.
Lineage: Bacteria; Bacillati; Actinomycetota; Actinomycetes; Frankiales; Frankiaceae
Also listed under: 29 other names
Description: tRNA-Gly
Rfam family: tRNA
About the family: Transfer RNA (tRNA) molecules are approximately 80 nucleotides in length.
Source: RNAcentral
GCGGGCGUAGUUCAGAGGCAGAACACGAGCUUCCCAAGCUUGCAACGCGGGUUCGAUUCCCGUCGCCCGCUCCA